AGAGUUUGAUCAUGGCUCAGGACGAACGCUGGCGGCGUGCCUAACACAUGCAAGUCGAGCGAAGUGAUUUUCGAUGAAGUUUUCGGAUGGAUUUCGGAAUCAUCUUAGCGGCGGACGGGUGAGUAACGCGUGAGAAACCUGCCUUUCACAAAGGGUUAGCCUCGGGAAACUGGGAUUAAUACCUUAUGACACUUUAACCUCGCAUGAGGAAUAAGUUAAAGCGUAAAGCGGUGGAAGAUGGUCUCGCGUCCUAUUAGCUAGUUGGUGAGGUAACGGCUCACCAAGGCGACGAUAGGUAGCCGGCCUGAGAGGGUGAACGGCCACACUGGAACUGAGACACGGUCCAGACUCCUACGGGAGGCAGCAGUGGGGAAUAUUGCACAAUGGAGGAAACUCUGAUGCAGCGACGCCGCGUGAAUGAUGAAGGCCUUCGGGUCGUAAAAAUCUGUCCUUGGGGAAGAUAAUGACGGUACCCAAGGAGGAAGCCCCGGCUAACUACGUGCCAGCAGCCGCGGUAAUACGUAGGGGGCGAGCGUUGUCUCCGGAAUUAUUGGGCGUAAAGGGUUCGCAGGCGGUCUGAUAAGUCAGAUGUGAAAGGCUAUGGCUUAACCAUAGUAAGCAUUUGAAACUGUCAGACUUGAGUUAAGGAGAGGAAAGUGGAAUUCCUAGUGUAGCGGUGAAAUGCGUAGAUAUUAGGAGGAAUACCAGUGGCGAAGGCGACUUUCUGGACUUAUACUGACGCUGAGGAACGAAAGCGUGGGGAGCAAACAGGAUUAGAUACCCUGGUAGUCCACGCCGUAAACGAUGAGUGCUAGGUGUUGGGGGUCAAACCUCGGUGCCGCAGCUAACGCAUUAAGCACUCCGCCUGGGGAGUACGUACGCAAGUAUGAAACUCAAAGGAAUUGACGG
RNAcentral lists this ribosomal RNA (909 nucleotides) under uncultured Eubacteriales bacterium. RNAcentral describes it as "bacterial SSU rRNA". It matches the Rfam family "Bacterial small subunit ribosomal RNA", at positions 8 to 916 of the family's 1533-position model. The record is from RNAcentral. Lineage: Bacteria; Bacillati; Bacillota; Clostridia; Eubacteriales.